AUUCAGCUGACGAGUCUCAAAUAGGACGAAAAAGCGCGUGUCCUUGAU
This is a non-coding RNA of Schistosoma margrebowiei, 48 nucleotides long. The record is from Rfam. Lineage: Eukaryota; Metazoa; Platyhelminthes; Trematoda; Strigeidida; Schistosomatidae.